Molecule: ribosomal RNA, 331 nt
Filed under: uncultured eukaryote
Lineage: Eukaryota
Description: partial 18S ribosomal RNA
Rfam family: Eukaryotic small subunit ribosomal RNA
Source: RNAcentral
CCCUUAGAUGUUCUGGGCCGCACGCGCGCUACACUGUUCGACGCAGCGAGUCUUAACCUUGACCGAAAGGUUUGGGUAAUCUUCAGCAAAGUCGAACGUGAUGGGGAUCGAUCAUUGCAAUUAUUGAUCGUGAACGAGGAAUUCCUAGUAAGUGCAAGUCAUCAGCUUGCGCUGAUUACGUCCCUGCCCUUUGUUCACACCGCCCGUCGCUACUACCGAUUGAAUGGUUUAGUGAGAUCUCUGGAUUGACGCUGGCUAGGGGGCGACCCUUGGCCAGACUGUUGAGAAACUGCUCAAACUUGAUCAUUUAGAGGAAGUAAAAGUCGUAACA